GCGUGAUUAUCGAUUCUCAACGAAUAGCAGCAAAAAGCUUUCCUACUUGCUCGACUACCAAUGAAAAGCACAGCCUGUACGCCCAAGAAUACAUCUACACAAAGAAUGCGAUGGGUAUAUCCUGCAAUUCUGCCGCCAAAUCACAACAAUGGAAACGAUUGUAUUUUAAUGGAUAUUUCAAUGAAAAUGUAUGCAAAAAGAAAAAUCCGGUGAGGAUGCACUCUAGGUUUUCCUGCUGAAAAUGCAAUAUAUCCAUAUUUUUUAUUUUUUGGUCAAUAAAUUUAUGACGCAUAUUUCACACCCAUCGCUCAAUAGGCAGAAUUUUAAAAUUUCUGCUUUUAAAUGAGAAAUAUAUUGGAAUAUUUAUAUUUUCAUUAAGCGUAAAUGGUUGCAUUUUAAGAUGAAAUUAUGACUUCCGAAAUAGGAAAAAAAUGUUAGCUGAUCACUACUUAGAGAAGUGUCCGUUGCAACCCUGAUGAUAUAAAACUAAGAUGCUAAAUUUUGAAGUUUCAUUGAGAUAUGUAUUGGAAAAAAUGAUUCUUGAAUUCUUGAAACAAUAUGGAUUGGACUUUAUUCCAAUAUCGUAAAGCAAAACAGCGAAUCUACACACUUUAUCAUAUUCAUUGUUUGAUUUUAUGAAAUUGAAAAACGAAGAUUACGAAAAUCAAGGAAAUCUCUUCAUUUUUCCAAUUUCAAGGUGGCGCUACACAGCUUAUGAAGACAGAAGUACACGAAGAUAUGCAUUUGAAAAGGGAUUGAAGUUAUUUGUCAAAUUCCAGAUUUAUCUUUGUCUUCAAUAUUCUUUUGUACCUUAAUUUACUAAGCAUUUAAUAAAGCGUAUAUUAA
Parasteatoda tepidariorum (common house spider) is the source of this 846-nucleotide long non-coding RNA. RefSeq lists it as uncharacterized. Lineage: Eukaryota; Metazoa; Arthropoda; Arachnida; Araneae; Theridiidae. The record is from RefSeq and is a predicted model, not a curated record.